AUACAUAAGGCAUAGAAUACUCUGUGGGCAAUCAAUCUUUUUUUACGUCACAGAUCAUCGUUACUUUACCUCAUUUCUUUCACAGGCGAACGAUCGCGCUCGCGAAUUAUCAUAUUUUGAAACGUUUUUAAUGUAUCAAACCUGUUUGACCUAGAUUUCACGUCCGACAGCGAGGUAAUCUAACUUUUUACUUAAAUAUUCAUAUGGUGUGCAACGGUGUCACAUCGAAGAACUCGAAUUUCACUCGUAUUCGAGCACCUGAAACCCGAGCGCGAACGAGUUAAGGAUGCAAUUAAACAGAUUAAUCGACGAAUUUGUUUCAAGCGCUAGCUGUUACACGAUCUAUCCCUUUCUCCGUUUGGAAAUUCAAAGCAACCACUGUUGGAAAAAAGAAAGGAUUUCAGUUCCGCUCGUUUAAUGGAAUGAUAGAAGCAGUUUCAGAAAAGGCGUAAAUCGUCGAGCGAUGACGACGC
This 473-nucleotide unclassified non-coding RNA is filed under the name Bombus terrestris (buff-tailed bumblebee). RNAcentral's name for it is "misc RNA ENSBTSG00005039116.1". The record is from RNAcentral. Lineage: Eukaryota; Metazoa; Arthropoda; Insecta; Hymenoptera; Apidae.